GGUAUUGUUUGAGGAAGUUGAAGAAGGUGAAGAAGAGCAAUGGGCAAAUGCUUGCUAUCAAUGAGACUUUUGAAAAGAACC
This is a long non-coding RNA of Juglans regia (Persian walnut), 81 nucleotides long. RefSeq lists it as uncharacterized. NCBI's taxonomy places the organism in Eukaryota, Viridiplantae, Streptophyta, Magnoliopsida, Fagales, Juglandaceae. The record is from RefSeq and is a predicted model, not a curated record. The transcript has 3 exons.